UAUUAGGUUGGUGUAAAAGUAAUUGCGGUUUUGCCAUUAAAAGUAAUUGUGGUGCCCUCUUUUAAUGGUAAAACCGCAAUUACUUUUGCACCAACCUAAUAC
RNAcentral lists this microRNA precursor (102 nucleotides) under Rhinopithecus bieti (black snub-nosed monkey). RNAcentral describes it as "miRNA (ENSRBIG00000013903.1)". The record is from RNAcentral. Lineage: Eukaryota; Metazoa; Chordata; Mammalia; Primates; Cercopithecidae.